AUUGAACGCUGGCGGCAGGCCUAACACAUGCAAGUCGAGCGGAUGAAGGGAGCUUGCUCCUGGAUUCAGCGGCGGACGGGUGGGUAAUGCCUAGGAAUCUGCCUGGUAGUGGGGGAUAACGUCCGGAAACGGGCGCUAAUACCGCAUACGUCCUGAGGGAGAAAGUGGGGGAUCUUCGGACCUCACGCUAUCAGAUGAGCCUAGGUCGGAUUAGCUAGUUGGUGGGGUAAAGGCCUACCAAGGCGACGAUCCGUAACUGGUCUGAGAGGAUGAUCAGUCACACUGGAACUGAGACACGGUCCAGACUCCUACGGGAGGCAGCAGUGGGGAAUAUUGGACAAUGGGCGAAAGCCUGAUCCAGCCAUGCCGCGUGUGUGAAGAAGGUCUUCGGAUUGUAAAGCACUUUAAGUCGGGAGGAAGGGCAGUAAGUUAAUACCUUGCUGUUUUGACGUUACCAACAGAGUAAGCACCGGCUAACUUCGUG
Molecule: ribosomal RNA, 484 nt
Filed under: uncultured bacterium
Lineage: Bacteria
Description: partial 16S ribosomal RNA
Rfam family: Bacterial small subunit ribosomal RNA
Source: RNAcentral